Molecule: ribosomal RNA, 199 nt
Filed under: uncultured bacterium
Lineage: Bacteria
Description: partial 16S ribosomal RNA
Rfam family: Bacterial small subunit ribosomal RNA
Source: RNAcentral
ACGCUCGACACCUACGGGAGGCAGCAGUCGGGAAUAUUGCGCAAUGGAGGAAACUCUGACGCAGUGACGCCGCGUAUAGGAAGAAGGUUUUCGGAUUGUAAACUAUUGUCGUUAGGGAAGAGAAAGGACAGUACCUAAGGAGGAAGCUCCGGCUAACUACGUGCCAACAGCCGCGGUAAUCUGAGCGGGCUGGCAAGGC